RNAcentral lists this long non-coding RNA (390 nucleotides) under Carica papaya (papaya). RNAcentral's name for it is "long non-coding RNA (CPAP_LNC008917)". Lineage: Eukaryota; Viridiplantae; Streptophyta; Magnoliopsida; Brassicales; Caricaceae. The record is from RNAcentral.
UUAGGUCUAAGAUAAAGAAAAGCUUAUCUAUCUGCAGGAUCUAGGCUUAGGCUACUAAGGAGUCAGGGCCACCAUUAAAGUGUGGUGGGUUAAGUUUCCUAAACUCCGCUAUGUUGUGAGAGAUAGACCUCUCAGUUGUUUGGUAUUUCGGGGUAGGGUGUUGAAAAGGGUUGGCUUAGUUUUAUCUUACAACUGUAGCUAAUUCUUGGAUAGCUUGGAAGAGUUCGGUAAACUUGGCCCUGGUCGGAUGAUCCUAGGAAUCGAGUCUCUCGAUACGUUCUACGGAAGGUCUCCCUCACGUCAUUCUUAUAAAAGAAAGGAAGACACGAGUUAGUGGUCUAAUUCAGAAAAGAUGACUUAUUUUCCACGAUAUCCUAAGGGUCUUUCUAA